GAUCAUGGCUCAGAUUGAACGCUGGCGGCAGGCCUAACACAUGCAAGUCGAACGGUAACAGGAAGAAGCUUGCUUCGUUUGCUGACGAGUGGCGGACGGGUGAGUAAUGUCUAGGGAAACUGCCUGAUGGAGGGGGAUAACUACUGGAAACGGUAGCUAAUACCGCAUAACGUCGCAAGACCAAAAAGGGGGGACCUUCGGGCCUCUUGCCAUCGGAUGUGCCCAGAUGGGAUUAGCUAGUAGGUGGGUAACGGCUCACCUAGGCGACGAUCCCUAGCUGGUCUGAGAGGAUGACCAGCCACACUGGAACUGAGACACGGUCCAGACUCCUACGGGAGGCAGCAGUGGGGAAUAUUGCACAAUGGGCGCAAGCCUGAUGCAGCCAUGCCGCGUGUAUGAAGAAGGCCUUCGGGUUGUAAAGUACUUUCAGCGGGGAGGAAGGGAGUAAAGUUAAUACCUUUGCUCAUUGACGUUACCCGCAGAAGAAGCACCGGCUAACUCCGUG
This 505-nucleotide ribosomal RNA is filed under the name uncultured bacterium. RNAcentral's name for it is "bacterial SSU rRNA". It matches the Rfam family "Bacterial small subunit ribosomal RNA", at positions 15 to 507 of the family's 1533-position model. The record is from RNAcentral.